GCAUAGGAUAGGCCCCAUAUUUACAGUAUGCUUCAUUAUAUUCUAUCUCACCGCAGAGAUUGUUGUUGUUGUAGCCCAUUUGAAAAGGUUGGGUAUGCGCAUUGACACGUUUCGAUUAGAGGGGACGCAGAUGGUGGAGGAGACCUACGGGCAUUCUGUUACGAGUUUGCAGUAACAAUAGGACGUAUAUUUAUGGCAGCUGGAGUCCGUAGCCUACACGCGCUUGCAUACAACAUACAGACAUCUGCAUACUAGUAAUUCCUCAUGCCAUCCAAGCACUCCUUUGUCCAGUCUUUUUAUUUACUCUCUUUUAACCGCCCAUCAGAGGCAGCUGCUCGCCAUUUACCAGACCUCUGCUCAAGCAACGUGACGCGCUCCAUAGCACGUCCUCAUUUUAGAGGAGAUCGACGCAUGGAGGAUCGGACAGCUCGAGGGCUUCAUCGCACCCUUACUGACUGAAACAGAUGCUGCGAGACUGGUGCAUUGUGGACCGGCGGUCAAAUUUACAUAAUUGCAAAAGUGGCCAAACUCACAGCCCAGCUGGCAGGAUGCAAGUCCCCAUGAGGACUGGGGUGCCCUGGUGUCCCUGACGGCCUGGUGACAGGAGUAGGGAGAGACAGAUGGGUAUGUGUCCAGUAUAUCCUCAUACUGUGGAGGGGGUUCUUGUUUAACAGAGGUUUAACAGCCGUUAUUGAUGGUAAUUCUGUUUUGUGUGCUCCAUUCCUUGAUAUUUUUUUAUUGACUUGUUGGUAUUAGUGGGGGCUGCCGUAACAAGUUAUUCAUUUAAAUUAGGUUAGUUCAAGGUAAAACAUGUCAAAUAAGUUAGAUAAAAAGGUUAUUCAGGUCCAUUAGAUACUGUUCCUCAAUGCCUAUGAUUCUUGGUGAUUUUGCAGAUUAAUUUAGUAACUCAGGCCUACUGCAGUUCAUAGUAUCUAUUGGCAGUGGUCAAGGCCAAUGGUCCAGUACGUCCUUGGUAGGGUUUUGGGGACAGGUGUUCCAGGGGGUUGCGUUCCACUUUCUGCUGCUCUCUGCUCUGUGUUUAUCUCCAGAUAUAUCCUGAGGAAGAUGCUGGGAAGGUGCCAGCCCUCAGAGCCUAUUUAGAUGAGUCCACAACAUGUCCUGACUGACAAGGCUGUCAACAAAGCUGUUUUUAAACAGUUGUCAACGUGGUUCAUCCUUACCGAACUGGGACGGGAACUGGGACCUAUGGCUUUCACCCACUGAGAAAGGGGCACAACAUUGGCAUUCACCCACUGCUGAUGGGGCACAGCCACACUUCUUUAGUUAUCAAUAUGUGUUAGAAGUGUAUCACCUUGCUGUGAUUAUUUGGAUAUUUUACUUUGCCUACUUAAAAUGGGAUUAUCAUUGGCACAUUGCUGGUUCCCCUUUAACCUUUUACUGCAAUGAGCAAAAUCAGUGUUUCUUCGUUGUCUUAACCUCUCUGGGAGAUGUGUAGCGUCCCACCUCGCCAACAGCCAGUGACAGUGCAGGGCGCCAAAUUCAAAACAACAAAUCUCAAUUAUAAUUCCUCAAGCAUACAAGUAUUUUACACCAUUUUAAAGAUAACAUUCUCGUUAAUCCAGCCACAGUGUCGGAUUUAAAAAAUGCUUUACAGCGAAAGUACCACAAACGAUUAUGUUAGGUCCCACCAACUCACAGAAAAACACAGCCAUUUUUCCAGACAAAGAGAGUAGUCACAAAAAGCACAAGAUAAAAUUAAUCACUAACCGUUGAGCUUCAUCAGAUGACACUCAUAGGACUUCAUGUUACACAAUACAUGUAUGUUUUGUUCGAUAAUGUGCAUAUUUAUAUAAAAAAAAUCUCAUUUUACAUUGGUGCGUUACGUUCAGUAGUAAAACAUGCGGUGAUUGUGCAGAGAGCCACAUCUAUUUACAGAAAUACUCAUUAUAAAUGUUGAUGAAAAUACAAGUGUUAUACAUGGAAUUUGAGAUACUUCUCCUUAAUGCAACCACUGUCAGAUUUUUUUUGUUUUUAAACGUUAAGGAAAAAGCAAACCAUGCAAUAAUCUGAGUACAGCGUUCAGACAACAAAGCAGCAAAAAUAUAUCCUCCAUAUUGUGUCGUCAACAUUAGUCAGAAAUAGCAUUAUAAAUAUUCACUUACCUUUGAUCUUCAUCAGAAUGCCACCCAGGAAUCCCAGUCCCACGAUAAAUGUUUGAUUUGUUCGAUAAUGUCCAUUUAUGUCCAAAUAGCUUCUUUUGUUAGCGCGUUUGGUAAACAAAUCCAAACGCGCGUUCAGGUCCAACCGAAUGGUGGACAAAAAGUUAUAUUACAUCCCGUAGAAACUUGUCAAACUAAGUAUAGAAUCAAUCUUUAGGAUGUUUUUAUCAUAAAUGUUCCAACCGGAGAACUCCUAUGUCUGUAGAAAAGCAAUAAAACGAGAGCUAACUCUCUCGUGACCGUGCCUCGGAGCCUGUGGCACUCUGGCAGACAACUGUCUCAAUCAGCUCUCAUUCACCCCCACUUCACAGUAGAAGCCUGAAACGACGUUCUAAGGACUGUUGACAUCUAGUGGAAGCCUUAGGAAGUGUAAUAUGACUCCAUUUACACUGUAUAUUGGAAUGGCAGAGUUGAAAAACUACAAACCUCAGAUUUCCCACUUCCUGGUUGGAUUUUUCUCAGGUUUUCGCCUGCCAUAUGAGUUCUGUUAUACUCACAGACAUCAUUCAAACAGUUUUAGAAACUUCAGUGUUUUCUAUCCAAUACUACUAAUAAUAUGCAUAUAUUAGCAUCUGGGCCAGAGUAGCAGGCAGUUUACUCUGGGCACCUUAUUCAUCCAAGCUACUCAAUACUGCCCCCCCUGUCACCAAGAAGUUAAACAAAUCUACUAUGAAACAAGAGUAUACACCUCACACACAUGGUUAUGGGCUUUAAAAAAUACCUGUACCAUAUUAGAAAUACAUUUGAAUUGUAUUCAAUUUUGAGUUUGCAUCCCAAUAUUACAGUUUAUAUACAUCAAAGAAGACAAACAUUACAACAUCAUAGAAACACAGAAUUGUCGGCGGGUUUUUGAAAUAAUGUUUAUUAAUGAUAAAAGAUAUGAAUAACAUUCCACCCAUGAGUCCAUUUAGAUGGAGAUUUGGUCAUUUGACUGCAGGAAAGGGCUACUUGUCAUCUUAUGCCACAUUGCUCAGGACUUUAUUGGAUAGGACCACAUUUCAUGCCAUAAGAGACUCAUAAGGGGUGGGGUUGUAGUGUUGUGUGUCUGACACUUUGGUGCUUCGCAUUUCCUUCCCUGAAAUACUGUUUAACUGAGGGAUGCUUUCUCUCCCCUCCUUUGUAAAAUAACUCUUAACACGUUCUGAUCCCCUUCCACACUGUUCAGCUGAUCAAAGCACUGACACUGCAGUUGACUAACACCUCUCUCUGAUGCCUGCUUCUCCUCAUGCUGUCAGCACUGUCCUUUCUCUUCUCUGUAACCUUGGCAACACUAACGCCUUACUCACCUCCGAUCUCUGACGUCUAACAUGACUAACAAGAUUGAGUCUGCUGGGAUGGCCUUGCUGUUAAUUUCAAUGAUGUGCUCCUAACCAAGCUAGCAGGGAGCAUACCCAUGACAAGCUUGUGCGGAUGGUUUGGUAACAUUAGUCUACCCUAACGUUACAGGAGUGCUGAGGAUGUUAGUUGUCAGUGUGUGUAGCUAUCUCUCAAUCUUACCACCCUAGUUUUUAGAUGGUUUCCCGAGGCCUGGUUUGUCUUGUGAUUGCUGCAUGUACUGGUAACUCUGAGUAACCUUAGCUGGAGUCGUAAAGAACUAACCAACACUGGGGUAAUCCUGGUUUACUAACCUGGACUAACAGUCUAACAUUCACUAAUCAACCAAACUGAAACCCAAGCACUGGAGAAGUGCCUUGUCUGACUGGUUAAAACCAUCCUUAACCUAAUGGUCUGUUAAAACCACUGUGUGUGUGUGUGGGUGUACAUUGUGUGUUUAAGAGUGGGGCUGUUACUGUCAUUAAUAUUCUUACACUCUGAAACCAAACCCCCAACUGCCAACAGCUCUCUUGUCAUUCCUUAAUAAAUACACUAACAAUAACACUCUAAUACCUAACAGUACUAAUGUCUGCUAACAGGCCUAUUGUUACUAAUACUCAACUCUACUAUGGAUGAUGUUGGCUGGACUUGUAAUUUCUAACACACUCACUAACCCUUUGCUUUGUGCCCUGAGUCUGAGACAGUCCUCUCACAUUUUCCUGAAUCCCUUCUCCGCCAGACACAGAUCACCCAAAAUCAUAUACAAGAACUAUGUAUUUAUCAAUCUGUUAUAACCUUAAGUGUGAUAUGUUUCUUGAGACAUGUUACUUUUGGCACCCUAAAGCACAAUGGUGAGUGAUUCCAGGAUCUGGGAUGGAAAGCUGGAUCAACCAAUAGAUUUUAAAGAAAAAGUGGGUCGACUACACACUUCUGCUCAGGGUGACGAUUGAUUAAAAAAAAAAUAUAUAUAUAUAUAUUACAAAUCAUACAGUAACUAUGCUAAAGAAUUGUAUUUCAUUAAAGCUGAAGUAUUCCAUCUUAAAUUGCUGACAAAUGUUUGUCCCUCUGUCCAUUGUGUGGCCAACCUCAAAGGUGUUGCAGCUCAGUGCUUGGUUUGCUGUCUGCAUAGACACUGAUGUGUAUUAUCUGAUAAGAUAAACCAAAGGAAAUAGCAACCCUUCCCUGCUUUACUACUAACUGACUGGUAUACUAACCACCCCAUAUGAGGCCUAACAAUGUGGCCAUUGAUUCAUUGCUCUUACUAACAUACUGCAUCUUCCCACAUAAAACAAUGCUACAUUUUACUAUAGUACACUCUGUAGUAUCCCUGGAUCAUGUGUAGAAAUUACUAUAUCAUUUCGGUAUACAAUAACCGAAAAGACACUGGUUCGAAUCCCUGAGUCGACAAGGUAAAACACUUAAUCCUAAUUGCUCCUGUAAGUCGCUCUGGAUAAAGUGUCUGCUAAAUGUCUAAAAUGUAGAAUAGUAUACUGCACACUGUAGUAUCCCUUGAUCGUGUAGUGCUUACUAUAUACUUUUGUAGUAUACUGUGGAAUACUAUACUACACACUGUAGUAUAGUAUUCAUCUCUUGACUGUAUAGUGCUUACUAUUGGAUUGUGUCGUAUACUGGUGAAUACUACACUCCACAUUGUAAUAUCCCUCUAUCGUGUACUGCUAACUAUAUACUGUAGAAUACUAUACUACACACCGUAGUAUCCCCGAUCAUGUGUAGUGCUUACUAUAUAUUUGUAUUGUAUACUAGAUUAAAUAAUACAGCAUUAUCUGCAAAAAACACUAAAUACUACAGCAAUGUCCAAAAACAGUUUUUUUUAAAACUAUAGUUAUACUAGAUUAUUUUAAUUUGCAUAUGCUUCACAUUCCCAUCCCCCAUACAGUGGUGUAAAACAAAACAAAAAUAGUUGAAAGUACUAGUUAAAUAGUUUGAGGUAUCUGUACUUUAUUUUACUACUUAUAUUUUUGACAACUUUUAUAUUCCUAAAGAAAAUAAUGUACUUUUUAAUCUUUACAUUUUCCCUGACACCCAAAAGUACUUGUUACAUUUUGAAUGCUUAGCAGGACAGGAGAAUAGUCUAUUUCAAACUUAUCAAGAGAACAUCCCUACUGUCUCUGAUCUAAUGGACUCACUAAACAUAUGCUUCAUUAGUAAAUUAUGUCUGAGGGUUGUAGUGUGCCCCUGGCGAUCUGUAAAUUAAAAAAACAAGAAUUGUGCCGUU
Molecule: long non-coding RNA, 5730 nt
Organism: Oncorhynchus masou masou (cherry salmon)
Lineage: Eukaryota; Metazoa; Chordata; Actinopteri; Salmoniformes; Salmonidae
Exons: 4
Source: RefSeq, a predicted model, not a curated record